Molecule: long non-coding RNA, 434 nt
Organism: Mauremys mutica (yellowpond turtle)
Lineage: Eukaryota; Metazoa; Chordata; Testudines; Geoemydidae
Exons: 4
Source: RefSeq, a predicted model, not a curated record
ACUGAAUGCACCAUCUAGUGCUCUUAUCUCACUAGCAUCUGAAUCUCAUUAGCAUCUCACUAAUAUCAUGGGAGGACAGAGAAGGAAAGAACAGUGUUGAAAUCUGAACUCCGCUACCAUGAUAAAAGCAGGGCUUUGGAACUGUGCUCCAGCUCCGCUCCAGCUCCAGGCAAAAACCUGCAGCUCCACUACUCCGGAGCUGCUCCAUGCUCCGGCUCCGCUCCAAAGCCAUGGAUAAAAGCUGGAAUUAUUACUCAUUGUACCUGCACGCUUUUUCUAGAUGAAAGAUGUAGCAGCCUGCCAUUUGUUAAGACUACUAAAGUACUGUCUGAGGUCAUGCAAGAUACACCUUGCAAAACAGUAAUAGCCUGCAAAUUAGGACACAGAUGACAACCAAUAAGCUCAUGAAAAUACUACUACUUUAACACAAUAGU